CCCGACCAGGUCUCAGCCACCGCCACACCCGCACGACCAGCCUGCGGUUCUGUGGGAGGCACUCGGGGGCGGCCGACCUUCAGUUGGCUCAGCGCUAAAGUGGGAGCAAAAGCCCAGCCUCGUCGCAGGGUCCCCGAGGGUCCCCGAGCGGCCGGCGCGCAGAGUAAGCCCCCUACACGGAGGCUGAGCUCUCCACGUUAGCCACGAGAAACUUCCCUGCAGUCCUGCUCACAGUUGCCCAGCGCGUGCCUCAGAAGCAAACGCACGCGUGAGGCCCGGUGCUUCCGACCGAGAACCGCGGGCCCUCGGCGGCCCCAGGCCCCAGGGGUCAGGCUUGGACCUGCGCGGAGGACCCGGCCUCCCCGGCGCCCCGCGGCCCUCUCCGCGUGACCUGCAGCGCCACCUAGUGGAGGCCGCUCCCUGCAAGGAGCCUGCUUCUCCCUCAGCCCCCGGCCGCCUCAGCCUCUGACUUCAACCCUCCCCACAGGCACUUGGUACCAGACCUAAGAGCGCGCCGGCCCGGGAAGAUCGCCCAAGACUGCGGAGAGCGAGAAGGCACCAGUCUCAGGUCUUCGAUCAGGAAACGUGGCCAAGUCAGGCCAACCUGAGGAGGGUCCCAAGAUGGGUGAAGGCGGGCCCCAGGAAUGUCCAAAUUCCUACUUACCGGUUGUGACGCAGUGACGGGAACUAUUGAGCUCUUGUCAUAAACGAGAAUUCUGGCUUCACGGAGUCUGAGGUAUUUUACUGGACCAUCCCUAACCUUUGCGCCUUUUGCCCGUUCCCCUAAUAAAGGGCCACAGCUGCCCAAGAUUAAGAGAGCAGGAGCACAAGGAGAAAUGAGGAAGCGGGCAGGCGCUCCCAGAGAGAAGAGGGCUGUUCCAAGUGCCAGGAGAUAGGAGUCCACCGUAUUUCCUUUGAAGAAAAAUGCUGACCAUCUCUACCUCUAUAAACUACUUCUAAGUCA
Long non-coding RNA from Canis lupus familiaris (dog), 964 nucleotides. RefSeq lists it as uncharacterized. The transcript has 2 exons. The record is from RefSeq and is a predicted model, not a curated record. NCBI's taxonomy places the organism in Eukaryota, Metazoa, Chordata, Mammalia, Carnivora, Canidae.